AGAGUUUGAUCAUGGCUCAGGAUGAACGCUAGCUACAGGCUUAACACAUGCAAGUCGAGGGGAAACGACAUCGAAAGCUUGCUUUUGAUGGGCGUCGACCGGCGCACGGGUGAGUAACGCGUAUCCAACCUGCCCACCACUUGGGGAUAACCUUGCGAAAGUAAGACUAAUACCCAAUGACGUCUCUAGAAGACAUCUGAAAGAGAUUAAAGAUUUAUCGGUGAUGGAUGGGGAUGCGUCUGAUUAGCUUGUUGGCGGGGUAACGGCCACCAAGGCGACGAUCAGUAGGGGUUCUGAGAGGAAGGUCCCCCACAUUGGAACUGAGACACGGUCCAAACUCAGUACGGAGCC
RNAcentral lists this ribosomal RNA (351 nucleotides) under uncultured bacterium. RNAcentral describes it as "bacterial SSU rRNA". It matches the Rfam family "Bacterial small subunit ribosomal RNA", at positions 8 to 349 of the family's 1533-position model. The record is from RNAcentral.